This is a non-coding RNA of Doryrhamphus excisus (bluestripe pipefish), 2046 nucleotides long. Lineage: Eukaryota; Metazoa; Chordata; Actinopteri; Syngnathiformes; Syngnathidae. The record is from RefSeq and is a predicted model, not a curated record.
UAAGUUUUUAUUAUUAUUAUUAUAUUUAUUUAUUACUGAUUGAUUUUCUUUAUUCUUGAUUUGUUUAUUUAUUUUUCAUCUUAUUUUGUGUAGAAAAAUAAAAAUUAAGAUAUUUGAAAAAGUUUGUAUAUUUUUCUGUUUUACUAAAUGCGUUUUUUUUUGUCUUUUUUUUUGGAAAACCUGAUGCGGCCCAGCCUUGCCCAGACCCUAGCUCCAGUGGCCCCCAGGUAAAUUGAGUUUGAGACCCCUGAUCUAUAGGCUGCAGUUUUUCAGGACUCGAAAGUUGUGCCAAACGCUUGACAUGGACUUUGACAAGCUUGCAAGAUCUUGUGACCCUGCCGCCCCCCAGGGCCAGACGGACAAGGGUCAACCCGGCCCCUCUUCUGCAACAUUCAUGGAUUUCACAACGACCAAGGGCUGAAAAGAGAUAUGCUAAAUGGUGCGAAUGAAGUUGCUGAGCAUGCUGGGACAAACCAAACGCUUUCUUCACUUUCCCGUACGUCCCUUUACCGAGGGUCUCCAGGAACUCGUAGCGGUGCUUCAGGUUGUGCUUGUGAUGGUGUCGCUUCACGGCUUGCUUCUUCACCUGGACCGGGCGGACCGGAGCUUCCGCUUGGGCUAAAACCCUCUCCACGGGCGGCCAGCAGUUCGACGAGAGUCGGCCGACUGUGGAGCCUUCCAUCAUCCUGGCUGAAACUCACCUAGCAGGUAUCGAGGACUUAAAACAUUCCUUCUUGAGCAACUCUUAAUGUUUAAUGUCCCGACCGGAACCCAAGCAGGGACUUUCCGGAGAGAAGUGUAGGGGCUGAGAGUCAAACUUGGAAGUUAAGUGGCGUGGAUGACACCUAACAGGUACACAGUCGCUGGGCGGGGCGUGCUCUUUAAUGACGCGUCAUAUUGCCGAGGGGCGGGGUUUGCUGCGCGGAGGAGCGCUUCAAUCUAAUACCGCUUUGUGCCGGUGGGCAAUUCACGUCAGAGGGAGGCGCUACUACAAGUUUUGGACCAGUAUUUCCGAUAUUUUUUAUUUUACUUGUAAUGUUUUUGUGUUUACCUAAAGUUUGUUGAUUAUAAUUAUGAUUAUUAUCACAAUAAAACACAGGACAAAGAUUUUAGGCUAACGAAGUAGCAUAAGCGGAUGGAACAAUGUAGCCAUAUACAAGUACAUUUAACGUAAGAAAAUAUAUCAAUAAUAUAUCGUUUGGUGUUUUUUACAUUUGUAGAUUUUGUAUAAUUUUUGGUGUUAUUAUAAAGUACGCAUUUUUUAAUUUGUAUCGGUCUACUUUGCAUGUUUUUCGAGCGUUCGACCACAAUCGGUGUGCAAUGAGAAGCAAUACAAACGCACCGAUACUGAUGCAGGACAAACUUUAGUGGUGUCAUUAGCAGCUUUUAUCCACAAGAGGGCAGCAUGCGGUCACUACAUUGACCAACAUCAGUGCAUCUGUAGGCAGAUACUCAACACUGUCACUCUAAAAGAGUCAUACAACCACAAACUACAAAAUACCAAUACUUUUGUAUGAAUUUUUCAUUUAAAUGACUUUUAAACUUGCAGUAUGUGUCAAUUUAUCUUAUGUUCAAUGGGAUGUGCAGCCCGGACAACAAUAAGUCAGCACAAUCACCUCUUACCUCUUCUAUUGACUCAGGGACAAUGGUUAGACCUUACAUUACCUUACAUUAUAUUAACUUAACACUGCAUGGAGUCAGCCAUGGCAUGUCUGACAUGAUAAAGUGAAACAAGUUCUCCCAUCGUGUGUGGAAGUGGUAAGUUUUUGGUUUAUUAAAUUUAGAAUAAAUAAAUCUCAUAAAUCUAACUGGUUAGCUUGCAAGCUAGUGGCACAAGAGUUGCAAUGUGUUGUAAAAAUUAAUUUAUUGCAGUCAGGUCUGGAACGGGAUAAUAUUGUCCCGUUGAAGAUAUACAGAAAUAAAAUGCAUAUUACAACUAUAGAAUAAUAAAUAUUACAAAAAUAAAUAAUGCGUGUACAGCAUAAAUAAACCAGGUUAGCUAGGCUACAUUUUACAGUGCAGUUUUUUUCUGUUUGGGUUAUUUCU